ACGCGAUAAAGGCUAACCAUCCGAAAGGGUGGGCGCAAAGCCAUGGGUCUAAAGCCCUUAAAUGGGUAUGACUGCCAGGCUGCCGUU
RNAcentral lists this non-coding RNA (87 nucleotides) under Clostridia bacterium. RNAcentral's name for it is "c-di-GMP sequence". It matches the Rfam family "c-di-GMP-I riboswitch aptamer". From Rfam's summary of the family: GEMM was predicted in a large-scale screen for bacterial structured RNA regulatory elements. Lineage: Bacteria; Bacillati; Bacillota; Clostridia. The record is from RNAcentral.